Molecule: long non-coding RNA, 3503 nt
Organism: Numida meleagris (helmeted guineafowl)
Lineage: Eukaryota; Metazoa; Chordata; Aves; Galliformes; Numididae
Exons: 5
Source: RefSeq, a predicted model, not a curated record
UAUAUGUGUGAAUUUUCUGCCAUGUGAUUUUACACACUGCAUGGCUUUGAAGUUGUGUCACCAAGAAGCUCUACCUAAAUAAGUUUAUUAUUCCACAAUUGCCUCUGAAAUUACAAUUGGAGAAGUAAAAUACAAGUUAACAAACUAAACAUUGUCCUCUAUUAGAAGCCAGCAUACUAGAGUUUCCAUUGAUGUAACCACAGCUAUUGUAUCUUUGCUAAAGUUUACAAAGUCCCAAUAUGUAUGUAAACAAAUAAGUUGAUUUCAAGCGAUGCACUAGAGCAGGACAUUGAUCUUCCAUCUGAAGCUGAAUCAGCAAUUGUGGUCUGCCAGGUACACCUUGGAAAGCCAUGUGCCAUUAAAACAGUGCUCUGCACACCUACAAAGGACAGGCUUGACGUGGUCCAAUGGUUAGCCCGUGAGCAUGGCAAUCCAAAUGCUUCCUGAUGCCACAUGGCACACUGGGCAGGGUACUUACUACCCAUUCUUCCUCAUUUAUGCAUCUUUAAACGAAGUUUUCUUAUCUUGUAAAUGUAUAACGAUCUUUGAACGAUAUACAGAGUGACUAAAUGAGCUGCUACAAAGCUAUAAUUAGGCUCACACUACCUAAUGCCACGCUCUUCAUGCCUCUUCAGCAGGCGAGUAGAAAAGCACAGCUGAAAUACUACAUUCUGUCUCCUUCUGUUUUUAAAAUCUUUAUUUUCUAUUCCUAUUAAGAUAUUUCUUCCAGCGAGGUGCCUGCCAGCAAACUCUAUUUGUCAAUAUAUUGCCUGGUAUUCCGUAACGAACCGUGUGUCAGUCGUGGUUUCCCAAACACUUUAACAUCAGCUCUUAACAUAUUUAAGGCUGUGCUGCCCUCUCCUGGUAGCUCUUGACCUGACAGAUCGGCUGCUAAGCAGAGGCUGUAGGACGGACCAUGCAGCAGUAUUCGUGAAUACCUCACACUAAAUCGGAGCCAGAGGAAACGCCCCACGUUUUCCCUUUACUUUAAUCAAUCCUUUAUGGUCAGCAUAAAUAGUAAACCACGGAAAUCUGGUGGUGGUUCUCUUAUCCUUGCAAGUUCUUUUCUUCCCCCAUCCCUUGUAUUCCUUGCUUACAACUUUUCUUUCUUUUCUCUUAUCCAUCUGCUUCUUAGCAGUCUCUUUUUUCCUCUGAGACCUUUCUAAACACAGUCCUCCAAAAGACCCAGACAAGAAACAAAACAAACCAUGGGUGCUAAAUACAGCGAGCUAUUCACGAUCAGAGGGGACAACCAGACAGAAUUUGGUUCCACCAUUCAGUCCCUGAGAUAACAUUUCAACAUCAUAUUUAUGUUAGUUACCCAGAGGAGCCCAUCAGGGUGUCAAACCUUGCUUCAGGAGAAAGGGCAAACAUAACAGCAGAGAGUCAAAGAAAAGACAAAAUAACAAUAGUUUUGUUCUUCUGCUGGUCUUGUUACGACCCCUCCUAAGCAAUUACUUAAAAUAUUCACAGCUCUUUUUAGAAACAAUGCUCCUCAUCCAGAUCCAAGCAGUAAAUAAGUACAUUUACAACCCAUGCAUUCUGAAACUGAAUUUUCCAAACAAUGGGCUGCAGGGAAAAGUCAAAAUAACACUUCAGGGAAAAGAAAAAUCCUAAUGUAAAUGUAAUUGUUUAAGUUAUGACUGAUUUAAUAUCAAAGACAACAAAUGCCUUUGGAAGCCUCAGUGUUGUCACGUAGUCAACGCAGAAUCUGAGAGCUCAGAGUUAUGACAGAUUCCUCGUGGAGUCUUCACAGAGCCAUCAUGAGGUUAUGAAGGAGUUGUGCUGGAAUCAGCACCAAGAAUUCAUGGAUUCAUUGUGGUGUCAUUAUAGAGUCAUCACCAAGUGAUUUCAGAGUUGCCAUGGAGCUGUCAUAGAGACAUCGAGUCAUCACAGAGUAGUCACAGUAUCAGAGUUGUCACAGAAUGAUUUAAGAGUCAUGAUGUUGUCACGCAUUUUGCAUGCAGUGCACCAACUAGUCAUCAGAAGAUCAUCAUGGAGACAUCUUAGAGUCCUAGAGUCAUUGGAGAGUCCUUAAGGAGCUAUCACAGUUCUGCUAGCUCAUCUUCAAGGAGUUCUUGCACUUACUGAGGAUCUGUAUUAGCAAGGCAUCUUGAUGUCAAGAUUUAGGGGAUAUCUAUGCAGGUAUAAUCUCAAGAGUUGUCACUACUCAAGGAAAGAUCCUACCAUGCAGCCCACUGCAGUACAGGAGAGCCUGAAGGGGCUCUUGGGAUGCUUAUUAUUUAUGGGGUAAGAUGAUUGACUCAAUCAUAGGUUGCUUUCUAGGCACAUGCUCAACUGGUCCUCAGCUGUUGAACCAGGUGUCUGCUAUCAGAUAAUUCAGACAGCAGUUUGAGACAGAUUUGUGGUUGUUAAUCUGUUUUAGUGAGAAUGUUAUUAGUCCUGUAUGAGGUCUUGUUUGCAAGGCCAGGCUGAAGGAGGGAGCUGAGAUAAGGAAAGAGGGCAGCAAGAGAGGCAGGGGGAGCAUGCUGUCACAAUGAGCCAAUUGUGCGUAGCUUGAGUGUGCUGGACUGCUAGGUGACAAUGGAACACCGUGGAGGGGAGGGUGCAUUUCAGAGUCAACUCUGCCUCCUGUACCUGCCACUCACAGAUUGGGAAUUGCAGUGGAGUUGUGGUACUGACUUUGAGGGUUGUGUGUGCAAUGUUCCGAGAGGAUGGGAUGAAUGAAAUUGCUGGUAAAGAUCAGAGCGGCCGGCCAGAGAUGGGCUGGAAUCAAUUGAAAAUACAGUCUUGACUUCCUCAGUGCACAAGCCACUGGAAAUCUAUAAUAACCUCUGGGGAAAGAAAAUGGAAAUUUGCAGGUUCAACAACUAGCCCUGCAAUGAUCAUUUUAUCAGUGAAUCUCUGUGAAAAAUAGUGCUCAGAAGAUUCCUAUGUGUCUUCAUUCUCUCAAAACUCCGCAGAUGUUUCCCUUGCAAGAUUUUUGUUCUCAACUCAAUGUACUUGAGAAUGUAACAGUAAGAAAAUAUGCUAAUGGAGUUGAAAGAGAAGAAAGAUAAAGUGAUGUGCAAAAUUUUAGUAAAAGACUCUGCGUCCUAAAGAUCAAACCUUUGAAGUAUACAAGAAUGGCGAAAUGUGGUAGAAGGGAAGAAUUGUUAUAAUUAAUUUACAAGAAACUGAAGCUCAAAGAUGUUCACAUUUUCUAAGAACAGGCAGGAGGGUGGAGCUGUGAAUCAAGGUAAGGAGCUUAAGGGCAAGGUGUUCUUUCUGGAUUUGUUUGCUUAAAUAUUGGAAGGAAAAUGUUUGUGCUCUCCAGAUUUGACAUAGCAGAGAUUUCUGCCUUUGCAAAUCUCCAUGGAAACUCACGAUACAGACUGAAAUGGAGACUGCAAAGCAAUGGAGCUCUGGACUGUUUAGCUGUAGCAAAGAAUUAUCUAUGCGGUAACAUCUCCUUAUAUGUAGACUAGGAUAAAUGUGAAUAAAGAAGUGUCUUUCUCAAGGACUAGAGACAGAACUUUUGUCAUCAGUGAAAUGCUGUGUUA